Molecule: ribosomal RNA, 254 nt
Filed under: uncultured bacterium
Lineage: Bacteria
Description: partial 16S ribosomal RNA
Rfam family: Bacterial small subunit ribosomal RNA
Source: RNAcentral
CACGUAGGGGGCAAGCGUUGUCCGGAUUUAUUGGGCGUAAAGAGCUCGUAGGCGGCUCAGUUAGUCGGGUGUGAAACCCCCGGGCUCAACCCGGGGACGCCACCCGAUACUGCUGUGGCUAGAGUCCGGUAGGGGAGCGUGGAAUUCCUGGUGUAGCGGUGAAAUGCGCAGAUAUCAGGAGGAACACCAGCGGCGAAGGCGGCGCUCUGGGCCGGAACUGACGCUGAGGAGCGAAAGCGUGGGGAGCGAACAGG